AAUGACACUUCGGUUGAUUUUGGGAAAGGACAGCGGCGGACGGGUGAGUAACGCGUAGGCAACCUGCCCCUGACAGAGGGAUAGCCAUUGGAAACGAUGAUUAAAACCUCAUAAUGCCGAAGGAACACAUGUUUCAUCGGCCAAAGAUUUAUCGGUCAGGGAUGGGCCUGCGUCUGAUUAACUAGUUGGUGAGGUAACGGCUCACCAAGGUGACGAUCAGUAGCCGACCUGAGAGGGUGAUCGGCCACAUUGGAACUGAGACACGGUCCAAACUUCUACGGAAGGCAGCAGUAGGGAAUCUUGCACAAUGGGCGAAAGCCUGAUGCAGCAACGCCGCGUGAAGGAUGAAGGCCUUCGGGUUGUAAACUUCUGUUCUUAGGGAAGAAGAAAGUGACGGUACCUAAGGAGAAAGCCCCGGCUAACUACGUGCCAGCAGCCGCGGUAAUACGUAGGGGGCAAGCGUUAUCCGGAAUUAUUGGGCGUAAAGAGUGCGUAGGUGGUUAUCUAAGCGUAAGGUUUAAGCGUGCAGCUCAACUGCAUCUCGCCUUGCGAACUGGACUACUUGAGUGCAGGAGGGGAAAGCGGAAUUCCUAGUGUAGCGGUGAAAUGCGUAGAUAUUAGGAGGAACACCAGCGGCG
Molecule: ribosomal RNA, 638 nt
Filed under: uncultured Clostridium sp.
Lineage: Bacteria; Bacillati; Bacillota; Clostridia; Eubacteriales; Clostridiaceae
Description: bacterial SSU rRNA
Rfam family: Bacterial small subunit ribosomal RNA
Source: RNAcentral